GUUUUUAAGAUGGGUCUCCCUUUUCUCAGAUCUUAUUUAAAUCACCAGUUUAUUUAGGGUUUCAUCUCUAUCUUCUCUCCUCUUUGGUUGCGAAAAAUUUGCAGCCUCUCUUUUGUACAGGCCGCCGUCGAAAUUAGGAGAUGUCGAAGAUUUUUCAGACCAGAAGUGUCCUGAGUUUUACCAUUAUUCAAUUUUUAGGUUUUUGCUAGCGAUCUUACAUGUGUUUUUUUUAGAGAUUGGAGACGCUACAAUCUAAGAAUGGGGAAGAGGUCGAUCGUGUCUUUUUUGUUCCGUUUCUCCCUUAUGUUUCUUCUUCAGAUCUAGCUGCGAUAUUAUUCAUUUGUAGUUCUCGGUAACACUUCCAUGUAUAUCGCUUGAUUCGAAUUUAGUAUUGGUUGUCGCCAAGUCUUCUUCCGGA
Long non-coding RNA from Camelina sativa (false flax), 418 nucleotides. RefSeq lists it as uncharacterized. The record is from RefSeq and is a predicted model, not a curated record. Lineage: Eukaryota; Viridiplantae; Streptophyta; Magnoliopsida; Brassicales; Brassicaceae.